AGGUGAUUUUCUUCCACCCCCACCUCCACCUCUAGAUGAUUCCAGUGCCCUUCCAUCUAUCUCUGGAAACUUUCCUCCUCCACCGCCUCUUGAUGAAGAGGCUUUCAAAGUACAGGGGAAUCCCAGAGGCAAGACACUUGAGGAGAGGCGCUCCAGCCUGGACGCUGAGAUUGACUCCUUGACCAGCAUCUUGGCUGACCUUGAGUGCAGCUCCCCCUAUAAGCCUCGGCCUCCACAGAGGAAAGCAGCUAAACAGGAUGUUGGCUGGUAACACCAGCAAAGUGGAAUCAACCUCAAAGGAGAUGGUGUCAGAGUGGUGUUCAAUGCCUGAGCUUCUACUGAGUGAGUCACUUGUGUGAAAAUGUCUUGACACAGAUAGAAUUGAGGUGCCCACACUAUAUCUGAUCACAGAAAUGUUAAUGCAGAAUAGCAAACUGGCUUUCAUCUUCAUGGGAUUGCAGGCUGGGGGAUAAAAGGGGUGCAUUUUUAAAGGUCAUCUCUAUUGCUUAUGAGAAAACAAUGUAUCACAUCCCAUGCAUCUGUGAGACUGUAUAUCAAGAAUCAGAAAUAAAUACAU
RNAcentral lists this small RNA (577 nucleotides) under Pan troglodytes (chimpanzee). Its description in RNAcentral is "processed transcript". Lineage: Eukaryota; Metazoa; Chordata; Mammalia; Primates; Hominidae. The record is from RNAcentral.